CCCUUAGAUGUUCUGGGCUGCACACGUGCUACACUGGCAGGUUCAGCGAGCUUCAUGCCCUGAUCUGAAAGGAAUGGGAAAUCUUUUCAAAACCUGCCGUGCUUGGGAUAGAUGUUUGCAAUUAUUCAUCUUCAACGAGGAUUGCCUUGUAAGCGCACGUCAUCAGCGUGCAUUGAAUACGACCAUGUAUUCUGUACACACCGCCCGUCGCUCCUACCGAUUGAAGUUUUCGGUGAGUUGACAGGAGGAUUUUUUUGAAACUGGUUCGCCAGUGGAUUUUAGAUCCAAAUGCCAACGAAUCGAUGGCUUUAGAGGAAGGAGAAGUCGUAACA
RNAcentral lists this ribosomal RNA (332 nucleotides) under uncultured eukaryote. Its description in RNAcentral is "partial 18S ribosomal RNA". It matches the Rfam family "Eukaryotic small subunit ribosomal RNA", at positions 1470 to 1796 of the family's 1831-position model. The record is from RNAcentral.